GANACGCUGGCGGCGUGCUUAACACAUGCAAGUCGAACGAGAGGACAAGAGAAGCUUGCUUCUUUUGGAAUCGAGUGGCAAACGGGUGAGUAACACGUAAACAACCUGCCUUCAGGAUGGGGGACAACAGACGGAAACGACUGCUAAUACCGAAUACGCUUGGGAGACCGCAUGAUCUACCAAGGAAAGGGUGGCCUCUACCUGUAAGCUAUCGCCUGAAGAGGGGUUUGCGUCUGAUUAGGUAGUUGGUGGGGUAACGGCCCACCAAGCCGACGAUCAGUAGCCGACCUGAGAGGGUGACCGGCCACAUUGGGACUGAGACACGGCCCAAACUCCUACGGGAGGCAGCAGUGGGGAAUAUUGCACAAUGGGCGAAAGCCUGAUGCAGCGACGCCGCGUGAGUGAAGAAGUAUCUCGGUAUGUAAAGCUCUAUCAGCAGGGAAGAAAAUGACGGUACCUGACUAAGAAGCCCCGGCUAACUACGUG
This 486-nucleotide ribosomal RNA is filed under the name uncultured bacterium. RNAcentral describes it as "bacterial SSU rRNA". It matches the Rfam family "Bacterial small subunit ribosomal RNA", at positions 33 to 507 of the family's 1533-position model. The record is from RNAcentral.